ACCUGUGUUCAGUUGAUACUCACUGGCUCAAAGGAAACAAUGGCGAAGGUGUUUGUCAUCCAAGAUUUGAAAAGCUUUGAGUGUUCAUCUCCAUCAGAGCUUGACAAGAAGUUUUAUGGUGAACAAAGUUUGCUGUCUGCUUUGGCACUGGAGCAACUGUCCACGUCAAGAGUGUCAAAUGACACAAUGGCUGAGGGAUCAGACUCCAAGCUGUCCAUUUUGGCUUCCCUCUGCCUGUCAUCGGACCCUAUUUCUCCCUGUCAGGCCUCUUCAGUGAACAACUUCAGCACUCAAGACACUGACAAUUGUCACCUGACUUUGCCUUCACACAGACAAUCCUCCACUCCCCACAUGCUCCUUCAAAAGCAAAAAAAAGCUCCUUUUUCUGACCAGUCCUACAGUGAUCUCAUUGCAUCUCAAAUGUCAUGGGAUGUGUCUUUGAUUAAAUCAGAAAACAACAGCUCCAUACCCUGCAUGGAGUCCAGUGCUCUGGAGUCAACAUGGAGUCCAAAACCCCAAUCUGCGCAACAUUCACUUGCUGAAUUGUCUCCCUGACGUGGCCGAGAAUGUCCCUCUGAACAUGCACUUAACAUGGAAAAAUUCAGAGCUUUGAAAGGAAGAAGUGAUGUUUUCAGCUUUUUGUGUCUGUAUCAGUGAUAAAUCAAACAGGAUUUAAAAGACUGGAUGUGCAUGUGAAGGAUCAAUGUGUGAGGAUUUCUGCAGUGCUUCCAAUGAUUUCAUGUUUUUAAAGAUCUGAAUCUUCAAAUAAAAGUAUCAAAGACUUUA
Non-coding RNA from Plectropomus leopardus (leopard coralgrouper), 786 nucleotides. The record is from RefSeq and is a predicted model, not a curated record. NCBI's taxonomy places the organism in Eukaryota, Metazoa, Chordata, Actinopteri, Perciformes, Serranidae.